RNAcentral lists this long non-coding RNA (1227 nucleotides) under Mustela putorius furo (domestic ferret). RNAcentral's name for it is "lncRNA (ENSMPUG00000032018.1)". The record is from RNAcentral. Lineage: Eukaryota; Metazoa; Chordata; Mammalia; Carnivora; Mustelidae.
CACAAAAGCUAGAAACAUCAGAAAAGGACCUCCCCUGGUCAGCCUCAGAGGAGAGGACACUGAAAAGCCGGAAGUUCCCACCAGCUCUUCCUGAGUUAGGCAAGUUGCGCCCUUCUUCAUCUCAGAUGCAGGCUAACUUCAAGGAAACAGCUCGCAGCAGAUCUAUAACAAGGACCAGAGAAAGAACAAGAAGAAUCCUGGCCCGGGAUUCCAGAAGAUCCGUUCUGAGGCCAAAAGGAAAACAGAGGUCCUGGUUUCCUCAUUGAAAACUGCAAGGAUAUCCUGAAGGUCUUCUUUACCUCUGAGAUGUUUGAGGAAGGUCCCAGAUGGAACUGGUUCCAGCCAGGUCAUCCACCACUCAAUACUGGAAAGGAAACCAAACAGCCAAAAUGAGGAAUUUCCUUUCAACAAGUAUCUCGUAAUUAUGCUGAUUGUUAAGCCACAUAAUCAGUCUUAAAGCAAAUCCCAUCUCAAUGGAAUUUAUAAAAGGAUUAGGAAAUGGGGAAAAAUGGAGGCAUGUUAGCAAGCCCAUUUGAUUUAAUUUAAGCCCACUUCCCCUUUGUCCUUUCCUAGUUUUUAACUGAGUAGGUUGGAGCACAAACAGGUUACUGGCUACCGCGCCUGCAUCUAAUUUUCUCUUUUCCGGGCUGGGUAGUAGUACUUUUAGGGUGCCCAUCCCCGCACUUCUGAUACUGAAGGAACAAGAAUAAAGAAUCUCUUUGGGGGCAGCCUGUUGAUACAAGAAAAACCUAGGUUAGAAAAAGCCGCAAAGACUCCAUUAACCUCCAUCUGGAAAAGGGACGGACGCAGCUUUAACUCAACAGUUGUGCUGUGGGAUUGGGAUCGAAAGCAGUCUUCUGCUUUGCUCACAUUUUAUUUUUGUACAUAACUUCACAUUCUGAAUAAUCAGGCUGUGGAUGAAAUACUACUCCACCUGGUCAGCACCGAGACAAGCUCGAACACCUUAUUGUCAUUGCGGAUAGUCCAGAUUAGCUGUCAGUUUAUCCAAUGUCAGCUACAUCCAAACCUCCUCCCUGAGAUCUGGCCAAACUCUGGGCCACAUUGUCCAGCAUAAAAAUAAAGCAGUUAAAAGAAACAAUGUUCAGGGGCGUCUGGGUGGCUCAGUGGGUUAAAGCCUCUGCCUUCGCCUCAGGUCAUGAUCCCAGGGUCCUGAGAUCAAGCCCCACACCGGGCUCUCUGCUUGGCGGGGAGCCUGCUUCCCUCUCU